GCUAACUCAAGCCACAUUGGGGGAGAAGAGAGUGAGAGGGAGGAGUUACCAAAACUUAUAUUCAAAUGUGACCAGCAAGGAGGUGGAAAAGGGAAAGGGAUGCUGGGAGAUGAAAAAGAAUUCUGGGAGAUGGAGUCCAAAGGUAAAAGGAUUUUUUUUUCUAAUUAGACCGUUGGAGAAGGAAAUGGCAAACCACUCCAUGAUCUCUACCAAGAAAACCCCAAAUCAGAUGGUGAAGAGUCAGACACCACUGGAUGAUAACAGCUUGAUUCUAAAGCGAGAAAUCUUUCCAGGUUUUGCCUUCUACUGCAAACAUGAUCCUUUGACACUUCAUCCUGUUUGACUCUGGUCCAUUUCUCCUGUGCCUAGUUAAUAGUCCUUGGAAGUGUUUCUUAGUUGACUGAAAUGGAGAACUUGGUGAUCUUGGCCCCUUCUAAACCUUCCAAAUGAAUUAUCCAUCUGCAAGCUGGUUGGAGAGGAUGUCAUGAAAGAUUCACCUUUCACCAACUUUCACCUGUGACUCCAAGAAAUAGUAGCAGGCACAGUGAAUCCCCAGUUCCAGUAACACCAUCUUGGAAAAUGAGCUAAACCAGGCUGAGGGUCAUUAAGUUAGGAGGAUGUCCACCCCAAGCACCUGAAGAUUUCCUCCAACAGAAUGAGCAGAUGAGAACGAUUUGGUCCAACAACCAUGAAGACAGCCAAAACAGAUACUGUGAAGCACCUAGAGCUUGACCAGAUAUUGAAGAUGCCAAAGUCAUCCACUGCAUUCCAGGCCAUUGCCAGUCAUCCUGCUUUUUGUCCUGUCUCUGGACUUCCCUGACUCCAGAAAAGACAAUGAGGCGAUGACUUUAUGCAACUCACUUACCUCCAAUUCAUGAUCAAGUUAAGAUGUCAUCCUGUGAUAUCAUUGGUUCUCUAGGAAAACAAAGGACAAACAACAGUAACAGCUCUGGAGGUGGAUAGCAUUUUUCAUCAUGAGUCUUUCAGUACUGUCUUGGAUCAUUGUAUUGUUGAGAAUAGCUAUAUCAUUCCCAAUUGAUUGUCUUGCAAUAUUGAUGUUACUGUCUACAGUGUUCAGAUUGUGCUCACUUUGCUUUACAUCAAUUCAUAGUCUUUUCAGGUUUUCUGAGAUCUCCUUCUUGCCACAACUUGUUCAAGCAUCUCCCAAUUGAUGGGCAUCCCCCCAGUUUCCAAUUCCUUGCUCCCACAAAAAGAACUACGACAAAUAUUUAUGUACAAAAAGGUCCUUUUCCUUUUUAAAAAAAAAUUUCUUUGGGCUACUGCCCUAGUAGUGCUUUUGCUGGGUCAUAGGGUAUGCAUAGUUUUAUAACCUUUUGGCUAUAGGAACAAAACUUUUAAAAUAAAGUCAACAUGAAAAUGGAGAGGGUUAGGAAG
This 1395-nucleotide long non-coding RNA is filed under the name Monodelphis domestica (gray short-tailed opossum). Its description in RNAcentral is "lncRNA (ENSMODG00000037911.1)". The record is from RNAcentral. Lineage: Eukaryota; Metazoa; Chordata; Mammalia; Didelphimorphia; Didelphidae.